Molecule: microRNA precursor, 60 nt
Filed under: Bos taurus (domestic cattle)
Lineage: Eukaryota; Metazoa; Chordata; Mammalia; Artiodactyla; Bovidae
Description: Bta-Mir-181-P2b_pre stem-loop
Rfam family: mir-181 microRNA precursor family
About the family: In this case the mature sequence comes from the 5' arm of the precursor. The extents of the hairpin precursors are not generally known and are estimated based on hairpin prediction. The products are thought to have regulatory roles through complementarity to mRNA.
Source: RNAcentral
AACAUUCAUUGCUGUCGGUGGGUUUGACUUUGAAUCAACUCACUGAUCAAUGAAUGUAAA